UACGGAGGGUGCAAGCGUUACCCGGAUUCACUGGGUUUAAAGGGAGCGCAGGCGGAUUUGUAAGUCAGUGGUGAAAGGCUUAAGCUUAACUUGGGAACUGCCAUUGAUACUAUAAGUCUUGAAUGUUGUUGAGGUUUGCGGAAUGGGUCAUGUAGCGGUGAAAUGCAUAGAUAUGACCCGGAACACCUAUUGCGAAGGCAGCAGGCUAAACAAAUAUUGACGCUGAGGCUCGAAAGCGUGGGGAUCAAACAGG
RNAcentral lists this ribosomal RNA (253 nucleotides) under uncultured bacterium. RNAcentral describes it as "partial 16S ribosomal RNA". It matches the Rfam family "Bacterial small subunit ribosomal RNA", at positions 524 to 776 of the family's 1533-position model. The record is from RNAcentral.